UGUUCAAACAGGUGGUCGGCCGAUGUCUUUCGCGGCCGAAGGGGGGAGGGAGGGCUUAAAACGCGCGGCUUCGUUCCUGCUUCGAACGUUCGUCCGCCAUUAAGGGAGGUUUUCCCGUGUCUCGGGUCAAAAUUAACGAUAUUCAAAUUUCUCUAUUUUUUUAGAAGAAAAGUGCGCAACGUAACAAACUGUUCAUUUUAUGUGGCGCUUGUCGUAAUUACUGAAAGCAAGAUAUAAGUUGUUUUUUUUUUUUUUUUUUUUUUGGAGGGAGUUGGAAGCUGCUUUAAUAACGGAAAUAUUAUUAAUAAUGCGCUGUAAAGAAAAGUGUUUCGGAGAUAAAGUAUGCUGAAAUUUUUGAGGUUAAUUAAUAUGCGUGCGUGAUGACGGGGGGAGGUAAUUCCAUGAAUUUUUUUCAUGUCAAUCACUCGCGUUGGGAACGAGUUAUUAAUGAUACCCUGGUGUUAGCUUGGCUUGGCCACGUGUCUCCACUUAACUCGAAAGCGUCGACGCUGUGUAAACGCUAUUGGAACGGAGGUAAACACUUCGGGGCGAAUGUCGAAAGCAUCGACGGAAAGAGGGGAAGCUAAUUAACGUAGUAAAAUUUUUCGUGCUUCUCCGACGCUUCCGGGCUGAAUUUCCUAGCAUUUCGAACGCCACAGAUCGUAAGACGUGCAUUGUAUUUAAAGUUGACACGAGUUUCUCGAAGUAAAGAAACCUGAUCUAAUAAUAAUCUAAUAAUAAUUUGGAAAGCGAUUGGCAUGAUUUACAGUCUGUGACUCCCACGAGUCGAAGCCACGAAAAGCUUGCAGCUCUCUGUUGAGGAGGAAGGAUGCAGGAAACGCAGCUACACGCGACAGAGGAUGUAGAGGGACACGCCGUUAUCAGAAUUUCCGGUGUUCGGCGAUAAUAAUAACUAACUACCGCUACCACUCGGUUUCGACUCCCUGGUUGUCGCUUCUCUGCGUAUAUCGUAUCGACAAAUUAAAUACUCACUGCCUGCGUCGCGCAUAUAUAGAUUAAUUUACUCUCCGCGGCCUUGGGUAGGAGGAGGCUUGAUAAAAAUUGGGAAAUUAAUAAAAGCGACCGGGAAAUGGAAAAAUUCUACCGUGGAAAAAUCAUGGGGUGGAAAAAUCUCGAGAUGGAAAGAUUCUGAUAUGGAAAAAGCUCAGUGGAGAAAUCCUGAGGUGGAGAAAGCUUGAUGAAAGAACCCCGAGGUGGAAAAAUCUUGAAAUAUAAAAAUCCUGAGGUAGAUAAAUCUUGAGAUAUAAAAAUCCUGAGGUGGAAGACUCGAUAGAAAAAUCCUGAGGUGGAAAAAGCUUGAUGAAAAUAGUCUGAGGUGGAUAAAUUUUGAAAUAUAAGAAUCCUGAGGCGGAAAACUCGAUAGAAAAAUCCUGAGGUGGAGAAAACUUGAUGAAAGAAUCCUGAGGUGGAGAAAGCUUGAUGAAAGUACCCCGAGGUGUAAAAAUUUUGAAAUAUAAGAAUCCCGAAAUGGAAAAAGCUUGAAAUGUAAAGAUCCUGAGGUGAACAAAUCUGGACAUAUAAAAAUCCUGAGAUGGUAAAGACCCAACACAAAAAACCUGAGAUGGAACAACAUUGAUGCAAGGAUCCCGAGGUGAAUAAAUCUUGAGAUGGAAAGAUCCCAAGGUGGAAAAAUCUCGUGACACGAAGAUCUCGACGUGGAAAAUCUGUGGAAUACGCAGAGCUACGCCGAUGACCGUCGUCCGUGUCGACGCUGACGAGAAAUACGGGCGCGUUCGUCUCGCGUUACUUCAUCAGAGACGUUCGUAACAGAGAGGACGAAGAGGUCAGCGUACCGCAGCCGCGCAUCCGGCAGAAACGGGACUGGGAAGCAAUUGGAUAUCGUAUAUAGGUAAGCAACUAGUCGCUGACGUCGGCGACACUCUUGCGACUCUUCGACAACGGACGCGCACGGCUCGAGUUGCGUUCCUCGCUCCGCGUGCAGACGCCACCCUUGACCCAUUCACGAUCCUCAAACGAUCAACCAUUAAACUUGAACGCUGAACGCUCGAAAUUUCCUCCUUCCACCUCGAGAAUCGACCACUUUAGAAUUUUUCAGCUGUAAUCGUCAUUACGAAUCGAUUGUUGGGUUUGUUUCGAGAGUAGCUACGCAGGUUAGGUCACGUUCCGGAAAGGUUUCGUCCCAUUGUGCGUAAUGGGGCAAUAAACAUCUAGGCCUGCUUCUGUCCGACGAGCCAGGCUCCUGUUUACCCGAAGUGAGUCACUGCGCCCUUCCAUCGAACGGUAAAAAUCUCCACGGUUUUGAAACGCGUACACACGGUGCGCUUUCUAGUGCAAAGGUCGCUUUUGUGCAAAGUCCAACGUCGAUCCAUGGUCGUUAAGCACUAGGGAAAGGAAUGAAUAUCCACUUCUCGGACGACAGAUCGUUACGUUACGAAAACACCGGACUCUUCGUAACAGAAUAUUCGAAGGCGUCGCGGGGACUCUCAAAAAAGUGACGAGGCGACGAGGAAUGAGAAUAGGAGGAUCGAAUUACCGCGACGGAGACUGGAAGAGCAAAGAGAGCCGAAGGAAGUCGAGAGACGGAAAGUUACGUGGAAUGCAAGCGUGAAAGCACAGGGAAGGGGAGAUAAGAAAGGGCGAGGAGACGAUUAGAGGACGAGGAGGUCAGAGGACAAGUGAAGCCCACGCGAGGGAUAACAGCAGAGGGAGAGGUUGGAUGGCUAUCGGAUAUGACACGAGAAAGGUGCUGACGGUUAAACGAACGCUACCGUGGGCAAUGAAUUAUAUUGUCCCUCCUCUUCUACGGUCAGGUCAACACCGACCGACGUAUUAGUUCCAUCGUUAGGUUUUAGCAACAGUAAAGACUGAAAUCACCCAAAAUAAAAAUUAAUUCGGUUUUAAAAAUGAAGGUUUUUUUUUUAGUGAGUAAUAGCCCUAUUUGUAAGCGAUAAAUGCGUUCUUAGGUGGCGAGGUCGGACUCAACGUAAGAGAGGAGGGUUAAUUGCUACACAGAGGCCACCUACAGGUAGGACAUAGGGUUUUAGAGACAAAAAUAAAAAGAGUAAAAGGUAAGUAAAUCUUCCAUAUUUCUCCGACGCCUCCAGAACAAUCCCUAGCAUCCCAAUUACCAGUCAGUUCCUACUAAAGAUAUUUUUCAUUGUUUAUAAAUUGUAUGUACUGUCUAGUCAAAGAAACCUAACCCAGCACAAAAUAUUUCAACUUGAUAAUUACUAUUGCAUCAAUCAUGGGUAUAAUAGUACAAAUAUUCUUCAUUGUUUAUACAUUUUAUGUACUGUCUAGUCAAAGAAACCUAACCCAGCACAAAAUAUUUCAACUCGAUAAUUACUACUGCAUGGGUUUACCUAAUGCUAUUCUAUUCAUA
Long non-coding RNA from Hylaeus anthracinus, 3364 nucleotides. RefSeq lists it as uncharacterized. NCBI's taxonomy places the organism in Eukaryota, Metazoa, Arthropoda, Insecta, Hymenoptera, Colletidae. The record is from RefSeq and is a predicted model, not a curated record. The transcript is spliced from 3 exons.